AUCGGUCAAGUGAUGAUUAGAUGCAUAGUUCAAAUGACUAAUUCGUGAUUAUAAUACUCUUUAGUCUUUCGCUCCUAUCUGAUGACAUUA
Molecule: small nucleolar RNA, 90 nt
Organism: Salvia miltiorrhiza (redroot sage)
Lineage: Eukaryota; Viridiplantae; Streptophyta; Magnoliopsida; Lamiales; Lamiaceae
Product: small nucleolar RNA snR60/Z15/Z230/Z193/J17
Exons: 1
Source: RefSeq, a predicted model, not a curated record